AAUUAUCAACCUCUCCUAGCUUUUCUAUGAGCUAGUGAGAGGCUUGGAUGUGGGGGUUCUUUUGCUGGCUUCAAAGAAUGAGGUCGGCUCCCCUGAAAUGCAUUAGCGGAAUCCCUUGUGAACCGUCUAUUGGUAUGAUAAUUAUCUAUGCCGUUGACGCGACGCACUUUUGUAAUGGGUGUUCAGCUUAUAACAGUCCAUUGAAUUGGACAAUACUUAAAUGACA
This 226-nucleotide unclassified non-coding RNA is filed under the name Romagnesiella clavus. RNAcentral's name for it is "partial internal transcribed spacer 2". The record is from RNAcentral. Lineage: Eukaryota; Fungi; Basidiomycota; Agaricomycetes; Agaricales; Crassisporiaceae.